This 357-nucleotide ribosomal RNA is filed under the name bacterium enrichment culture DGGE gel band B14. RNAcentral's name for it is "bacterial SSU rRNA". It matches the Rfam family "Bacterial small subunit ribosomal RNA", at positions 933 to 1289 of the family's 1533-position model. The record is from RNAcentral.
UGGAGCAUGUGGUUUAAUUUGAAGCAACGCGAAGAACCUUACCAGGUCUUGACAUCUUCUGACAAUUCUAGAGAUAGAGCGUUCCCCUUCGGGGGACAGAAUGACAGGUGGUGCAUGGUUGUCGUCAGCUCGUGUCGUGAGAUGUUGGGUUAAGUCCCGCAACGAGCGCAACCCUUGAUCUUAGUUGCCAGCAUUAAGUUGGGCACUCUAAGGUGACUGCCGGUGACAAACCGGAGGAAGGUGGGGAUGACGUCAAAUCAUCAUGCCCCUUAUGACCUGGGCUACACACGUGCUACAAUGGAUGGUACAAAGGGCAGCAAAACCGCGAGGUCGAGCCAAUCCCAUAAAACCAUUUCA